This 868-nucleotide long non-coding RNA is filed under the name Gossypium barbadense (sea-island cotton). RNAcentral's name for it is "long non-coding RNA (GBAR_LNC001101)". The record is from RNAcentral. Lineage: Eukaryota; Viridiplantae; Streptophyta; Magnoliopsida; Malvales; Malvaceae.
GAACCAAGACAGGCCAGGUUUCCGGUGAUCGUGGUGGAAAGGAAUAUCCAAGUGUUGACAAGCAGAAACCUGAUGAGAAAGGUUAAUAAAUAUAAUAUUUUGUUGCCUAUAUGUUGCAAUUCCAAUGAACAAUUGCAGAAAACAUGAUGUUUUAGCAUCAGCAUUUCUAAAUUAUGUUUAUAUAUACUACUGCAUUGAAUCGGUGCAGAAGAAGAUAUUACUGUAAAUGAUGAAACUGAGGAACAAUCCUCACAAGAAGCUGCUAAUACAGAUGAAACAAAUGCAGAAGCUUGCCUAGUUCCGGCAGGUGAAGAUGAAAGUAAUCGUGGAACUGAGACAGGCCAGGUUUCUGGUGAUCGUGGUGGAAUGGAAUAUCCAAGUAUUGACAAGCAGACCCCUGAUGAGAAAGGUUAAUAAAAUAUGUUGCAAUUCCAAUGAACUAAUGCAGAAACAACAUAUUUCAGCAUCAGUAUUUCUAAAUUAUGUUCAUAUAUGCUACUGUAUUGAACUCGUGCAGAAGAAGAUAUUACUGUAAAUGAUGAAACUGAGGAACAAUCCUCACAAGAAGCUGCUAGCACAGAUGUAUUAGAGAGACAAGUUCAACUACAUCCUGUAGUUAAAGAUAAAGCUACUCAUGGGAAUCAAAUAGGCUUUGUUACUAUUGAUCCCGAGAGAACCACAGAUCUUAAUGGUGACAAUCCGAAAAAGCAUGAGAAAGGUUAGUAAAUGCAGUGUUUUAUUAACCAAUAUUUGGUUGUCUAUUUACCAGGCACUUGCUAAAUGAAUUUGUUUCUCUGUAUAUGAUGAUGAUGAUUGGUGUAGAAGAAGAUACUAACAUGAUUCAAGUAGAUAAGGAAAAUUCCAUGAA